Molecule: ribosomal RNA, 1224 nt
Filed under: human gut metagenome
Description: bacterial LSU rRNA
Rfam family: Bacterial large subunit ribosomal RNA
Source: RNAcentral
UAAGGUCCCCAAGCGUGUGCUAAGUGGGAAAGGAUGUGGAGUCGCAUAGACAGCCAGGAGGUUGGCUCAGAAGCAGCCAUCCUUGAAAGAGUGCGUAACAGCUCACUGGUCUAGUGGUUCCGCGCCGACAAUGUAGCGGGGCUCAAGCACACCACCGAAGACGCGGCAGUAUUUUGUACUGGGUAGGAGAGCGUCCCAUGAGGGGCGAAGCGGCCGUGUGAACGCGCCGUGGACUUCAUGGGAGUGAGAAUGCAGACAUGAGUAGCGAGAGACGGGUGAAGAUCCCGUCCGCUGGAUGACCAAGGGUUCCAGGGCCACGUUCAUCGUCCCCGGGUGAGUCGGGUCCUAAGGCGAGGCCGACAGGCGUAGUCGAAUGGAUGAACGGGUGGAUAUUCCCGUACCGACCAUGGACCGGCAAAACCGAGACGGUGAGUACUAACCUCCGCCUCGUGGUGGUUCCUUCCUUCGGGUUGGUAUCGCCGCGUGGUGUUGGGAGCGUAGCCGCAGUAGGUCAGCGCAGGGGUGACACGGAAUGGGAGCCGGCCGCGGAGGUGGUUUUCCGUGGUCAAGCACGCAGCCAGUCAUGUAGGCAAAUCCGCAUGGCGCGCAUGGCGAGGUGUGAUGAUGGGAGCCUUUAUGGCUCGAUAUCCGGUUGUCCAGGCCGUCGAGAAAAGCCUCGGCGUGAGGGCCAUGGCCGCCCGUACCCCAAACCGACACUGGUGGUCAGGUAGAGAAUACCAAGGCGAUCGAGCGAAUCCUGGUCAAGGAACUCGGCAAAUCACUCCCGUGCCUUCGGUAUAAGGGAGACCCACUGGGGUGAAGGACCUUGCGUCCGGAGCUUUGGUGGGUGGCACAGACCAGGGGGUAGCGACUGUUUACCAAAAACACAGGUGCAUGCGAAGGCGCAAGCCGCUGUAUAUGCACUGACGCCUGCCCGGUGCCGGAAGGUUAAGAGGAUCCGUCAGCCUUCGGGUGAAGCGGUGAAUUCAAGCCCCGGUAAACGGCGGUGGUAACUAUAACCAUCCUAAGGUAGCGAAAUUCCUUGUCGGGUAAGUUCCGACCUGCACGAAUGGCGUAACGACUUCCCCACUGUCUCGACCAGGAGCUCGGCGAAAUUGCAGUACGAGUAAAGAUGCUCGUUAAGCGCAGAAGGACGAAAAGACCCCGGGACCUUUACUAUACCUUGGUAUUGGCAUUCGGUGUGGAUUGUGUAGCAUAGGCGGG